RNAcentral lists this ribosomal RNA (253 nucleotides) under uncultured bacterium. Its description in RNAcentral is "partial 16S ribosomal RNA". It matches the Rfam family "Bacterial small subunit ribosomal RNA", at positions 524 to 776 of the family's 1533-position model. The record is from RNAcentral.
UACGUAGGUGGCAAGCGUUGUCCGGAUUUAUUGGGUUUAAAGGGUGCGUAGGCGGCUUUUUAAGUCAGUGGUGAAAGCCGAUCGCUUAACGAUCGAACUGCCAUUGAUACUGAGAGGCUUGAGUAUAGUUGAGGUAGGCGGAAUUGACAGUGUAGCGGUGAAAUGCAUAGAUAUUGUCAAGAACACCAAUUGCGAAGGCAGCUUACUAAAGUAUAACUGACGCUGAUGGACGAAAGCUAGGGGAGCGAAAGGG